Molecule: non-coding RNA, 293 nt
Organism: Mus caroli (Ryukyu mouse)
Lineage: Eukaryota; Metazoa; Chordata; Mammalia; Rodentia; Muridae
Source: RefSeq, a predicted model, not a curated record
UCUUUGUGACUUCCACCAUGGCGUACCGUGGCCAGGGCCAAAAGGUGCAGAAGGUGAUGGUGCAGCCCAUCAACCUUAUCUUCAGAUACUUGCAAAAUAGAUCUCGAAUUCAGGUGUGGCUGUAUGAACAAGUGAAUAUGCGGAUAGAAGGUUGUAUUAUUGGCUUUGAUGAGUACAUGCACCUCGUAUUAGAUGAUGCAGAAGAGAUUCAUUCUAAAACAAAAUCAAGAAAACAACUGGGUGGGAUCAUGCUAAAAGGAGAUAUUACUCUGCUCCAAAGUGUUUCCAAUUAG